This 245-nucleotide ribosomal RNA is filed under the name uncultured bacterium. RNAcentral describes it as "partial small subunit ribosomal RNA". It matches the Rfam family "Bacterial small subunit ribosomal RNA", at positions 26 to 285 of the family's 1533-position model. The record is from RNAcentral.
AGAAUCAACGCUGGCGGCGUGCCUAACACAUGCAAGUCGCACGAGAAAGGGUAGCAAUACCUGAGUAAAGUGGCGCACGGGUGAGUAACACGUGAAUAAUCUACCUCCGAGUGGGGAAUAACUGAGAGAAAUCUUAGCUAAUACCGCAUAACACUUACGAGUCAAAGUAGCAAUGCGCUUGGAGAGGAGUUCGCGGCAGAUUAGUUAGUUGGCGGGGUAAUGGCCCACCAAGACGAUGAUCUGUA